UCCCUCUUGCUCAAUUGGUGGAGCGCAUCACUAGUAUCCACAAGAACUCGCGGUCUCUAUCAUGAUGAGGUCAGUGGUUCAAAUCGGCUAGCGGGAA
Non-coding RNA from Mycena galopus ATCC 62051, 97 nucleotides. Lineage: Eukaryota; Fungi; Basidiomycota; Agaricomycetes; Agaricales; Mycenaceae. The record is from the annotation of a GenBank genome assembly.